CUGUCAAUCGUCCUUCCUUUUUUUUCGAUCUCUGCCCCAUAGUAGACGCAAAGCUCGUAACAAAUAUAAAAACAAAUCUUAAAAAUAAGUCGCAAUCCGUUUAUUUAGAAACCAAAAUACGCUUGCAACAAAUAAAUAAAAACGAAUAUUAAAACACGUUAAUAUAAUUGGCGCCCAACCUAAACAAAAAGUGCCCACCGUUUUAAAAAACAAUUCUAGGUCAAUAAUACAAUUGAAAUAAAAACCCAAAGAGUUUAAACUAUGUGGAAAAAAUUAUUAUUACACAAAAUAACAACAAGGUCACGUCACUGGACUGGUGACGGCAGCGGCUAAGCAACUAUUUGUAAGACGAGAUGCAGCCGCAACCAACAAGGAAAAAACCCACUAAAUACCGUCUGCCACAAUUCAGGAACAACAGAGCAUAGAAAAAUCAUUAGCAGAAAAAUGAAAAUAAUCUGGUGGUGGCAAUUGGAGGUGACAACGCUGUAACACAAUAAAGACAAACCGAGCAGGUUAAUGACGACGACUUGUGCGUUGCUAUGGGUAGCAAAAGUUUGUGUUGGAAUUUUCAGAUGAAUAUACAAAUGACGCCUUAGUACCUCAAAUCUGAGAAAAACGAUCAUUGUGUAGAAGGAUUUGAAGCUGUUGGGUUUCUCCAGUGUUUGUGUUGGAUUGGUGGUUGCCAUAUUGAAAUAAAGCCUGCGGCAAUUGAGUCAGUCGAUUAACACAACUACAAAG
Molecule: long non-coding RNA, 738 nt
Organism: Drosophila willistoni
Lineage: Eukaryota; Metazoa; Arthropoda; Insecta; Diptera; Drosophilidae
Exons: 3
Source: RefSeq, a predicted model, not a curated record